Molecule: unclassified non-coding RNA, 1505 nt
Filed under: Leishmania donovani
Lineage: Eukaryota; Euglenozoa; Kinetoplastea; Trypanosomatida; Trypanosomatidae
Description: gene:LdHU3.10.0400(CDS-product:Pterin_4_alpha_car binolamine_dehydratase_putative)
Source: RNAcentral
GCCUUGUCUCUUGUGGUGCGCGCGCCCUUGCCUGCUUAACCAUCACUACCCCGUAGCGCACACCCGCCCACACUUCCCACCCACAGACACGCGAGCACAAAGGUACACGCAUACGCCUCCCAAGUCGUGAUGCUCGCUGGGCUGCUGCGUGGCACUCGCGCAGCGAUGGCGCUGCAGCGGUCGCGCCGCAGUUUUCUACCUCGAAUGCGGCAACGCUCGUCCUUCUCUACCGUCUCCUCCGCUGCCAUGUUCGAGAAUACCCUCACCACACAGCGGGCGCAGAAGGGCGACUACGGCUUCAACGUGUUUCACAACUCCAACCCGCAGCACGGCGGCAGCUACGCCCGACACGAGCGACGCAUGCGCGAGGACGAAGUGGAGGACUUCUUGAAAUCUGUCAAGCACUGGCGGCCUGUGUACGAGGAUGUGGCUGACGGUGAUCUCGUGGGUGACGCGCAGUCGUCGUCGUCGACCUCGGCCUCUGCCGCGGAGCCGCCGAUGCCGAGGCUCGCGCGCAUGGGCGAAGAGGCCAUCAUGCGCACCUUUCAUUUCGAAACGUUCCGCGAGGCUUACCUUUUCAUGGGCCGGGUGUGGGCCUUCUGCUACGGCAGCGACAAGUACCCGCAUGUCACGUGGGAGGGGACCGCCAUCACGGUUUAUCUCUACUCACCAUCCUUCCGAGGCCUCAGCAAGCGCGAGGCGCGCGUGGCGGCGUUCCUGAACGAUCAGUACAACAUGCUUCGGAAGAGCAAGUGGCAGCAACGCCGCAUCGUGGACGGCAUUGUGCGACAGACCGCUGUGGAAGAGCUGCUCGGUGAGGAGGUGGCGGCGCAUCUUGCGCGCCGGGAGGCGCUGCGCACAGCGCCACUGCAGGAGGUGAAGGAUGGGCCGCGCAGUUGGCGCAGCGCCAUCGGGUCACCGUUGCGCAGCCCCAACAGCGGCAGCGAUGGAGCAGGUAGUUCCAUGGGAGUGCGUGACAGUUAACAAAAAAGGAUGAUGACCCGCACACUCCGCGUCGGGGUUCGCUUGCUUCUGUCUGUCCUCCCUCCGCCAUAGUGCGGAGUGCAUUCCACACGAGAUUGCCCACCGUUUCGCUCGUACUCUCCCUGUGCCACCCUUCGUCUCGCUCCGCGCCGCAGGAACGCUCGUCCCUCUCCUUCCUCCAUCGUUUGCAAGAGAGUGUUCUGGCGCACUUUCAAAAUACAUUCCUGUGCCUUUUCUGGGUGCGUCGUCAUCACGUUGACGCACCAAGAAGAGCCACUUGGAUGCGAACAGAACGGCAUGACGCCUUUGCAUACCCAUACAACACUCAUGGUGUGCGUCUAUGCGUGCAUGCGUGUGUGUGUGUGUGUGUGUGCCUUGGCUCCGUGGGGCUUUUCCUCGCCCAGGCAAACCGCUGUCGCUGCCGUGCCCCCGUUGCACCCUCCUCAAGCCUCUCUCCCCUCUCUAGCCGGUUUUCCGCUGCGGUUUUUCUUUUCUGCCUGCCUCUCUCGUCACCUGCCCAG